This 178-nucleotide non-coding RNA is filed under the name Chloroflexi bacterium RBG_13_56_8. RNAcentral's name for it is "6S RNA". It matches the Rfam family "6S / SsrS RNA". Rfam says of the family: E. coli 6S RNA was the first non coding RNA to be sequenced, but its function was unknown until recently. Lineage: Bacteria; Bacillati; Chloroflexota. The record is from RNAcentral.
UAAUUCCUGUGAUGUGCGUGAUGCACCAAUUCGUUUUGAGCCAACAAUUAAGUCUAGGGAGCCGGAAUCCAGAGUGAUUCCGCAAGAGCUGGGCAGCCAGCACUUCUCAAUCACCGGAAGGCACCCACCUGCGCAAGCAGGUUCAAGGCUGAGGGGCACACGGCAUUGCGGGAUUACA